UAACGGCUCACCAAGGCGACGAUCGAUAGCUGUUCUGAGAGGAAGAUCAGCCACACUGGUACUGAGACACGGCCAAUACUCCUACGGGAGGCAGCAGUUGGGAAUCUUGGACAAUGGCCGCAAGCCUGAUCCAGCCAUGCCGCGUGGGUGAUGAAGGCCUUAGGGUUGUAAAGCCCUUUCGGCGGAGAAGAUAAUGACGGUACCCGCAGAAGAAGCCCCGGCUAACUUCGUGCCAGCAGCCGCGGUAAUACGAAGGGUGCUAGCGUUGCUCGGCAUCACUGGUCGUAAAGCGCACGUCGGCGGAUCGUUAAGUCAGGGGUGAAAUCCUGGAGCUCAACUCCAGAACUGCUUUUGAUACUGAGGAUCUUGAGUUCGGGAGAGGUGAGUGGAACUGCGAGUGUAGAGGUGAAAUU
This 413-nucleotide ribosomal RNA is filed under the name uncultured soil bacterium. RNAcentral's name for it is "bacterial SSU rRNA". It matches the Rfam family "Bacterial small subunit ribosomal RNA", at positions 258 to 688 of the family's 1533-position model. The record is from RNAcentral.